AACGAACGCUGGCGGCAGGCCUAACACAUGCAAGUCGAACGCUGAAGCAGACUCCGGUCUGUGAAUGAGUGGCAGACGGGUGAGUAACACGUGGGAACCUUCCCUUCGGUACGGAAUAGCUCCGGGAAACUGGAAUUAAUACCGUAUACGUCCUCCGGGAGAAAGAUUUAUCGCCGAAGGAUGGGCCCGCGCCGGAUUAGCUAGUUGGUAGGGUAAUGGCCUACCAAGGCAACGAUCCGUAGCUGGUCUUAGAGGAUGAUCAGCCACACUGGGACUGAGACACGGCCCAGACUCCUACGGGAGGCAGCAGUGGGGAAUAUUGCACAAUGGGCGCAAGCCUGAUGCAGCCAUGCCGCGUGAGUGAAGAAGGCCUUAGGGUUGUAAAACUCUUUCAUCGGUGAAGAUAAUGACGGUAGCCGAAGAAGAAGCCCCGGCUAACUCCGUG
RNAcentral lists this ribosomal RNA (445 nucleotides) under uncultured bacterium. Its description in RNAcentral is "bacterial SSU rRNA". It matches the Rfam family "Bacterial small subunit ribosomal RNA", at positions 29 to 507 of the family's 1533-position model. The record is from RNAcentral.